UAGUGACUAACGACCUGCAGCUCUGAAUGAGGGCUCUGAGAAGGCUCAGACCACUCACUGCAUCCGCGGCCCUACAAGGAGAUGGUUCCAUGGCACGAGCACAGAAGUAAGGUCACAGCGUGGGGAGGCUAGGGGAGGUGCUAAGGAGGACGGUAGCUUCUGACCCAAGCAAGGAUUCUUAAGGACCCCUUAGCGCAGAACAAUCAGCUCUUCUCUCUCACUAAUUCGUGGGCAACAGAAUCCAAAAGGGAGGCCCCUCUUUCGUAAUUCCAAAGCGAGGAGAGUCUGAUUCACAGCAGGGCAGGGACUGUGGGCAGCCAUGGACUUGCACCAAGAGCUGUCCACCUGUCUUUCCCCCAAACCUCCCCUUCUACCCCCCAAACAUCUGGUCUCCCAGAACUUUGGGUAGUCUCCCUUGCUUCGUCCCGCACCCCCACCCCGCCGCUCGCAACACGCGUGGGAAAGGCGAGGUUGGGAGAGAGGCAGCCCUCGCGGGGAGCCCCUCGGGCCGGGCACUCAUUCGUUCACCGGGUGGAAGGCGGCGAAGCCGGGCCGCGGGAAAGGAGGCAGGCGGCACGCAGGAGACCGGCCAGGUCACGUGGACACCGGGACACUGCUGACCAUUUGCGUCCUCUUGAUGCUGGCUUGUCUCAUGGCUGUCAGACCACAUGGCUGAGAUACAGUUUUGGGACACCUGAGUGGCUCAGUGGUUAAGCGUCUGCCUUUGGCUCAGGGCAUGAUCCUGAGGUCCUGGGAUCGAGUCCCACAUCAGGCUUCCUGUGGGGAGCCUGCUUCUCCCUCUGCCUAUGUUUCUGCCUCUCUCUGUGUCUCUCAUGAAUAAAUAAAUACAAUCUUAAAAAAAAUACA
This is a long non-coding RNA of Nyctereutes procyonoides (raccoon dog), 867 nucleotides long. RefSeq lists it as uncharacterized. NCBI's taxonomy places the organism in Eukaryota, Metazoa, Chordata, Mammalia, Carnivora, Canidae. The record is from RefSeq and is a predicted model, not a curated record. The transcript is spliced from 3 exons.